AUUCAUAGCUGAAGCUCCUGAAACAAAAGACUAACAACAUUAACAAGAGAUUAACAAGAGAAAAACAUACAAAUUUUAAAAAUAUAAGUUUUACGUGACAUAGAAGCAUUUAUACAGAAAAGACGACCAGAAGAAAUGGGUAGACCUGGGUAUUUUUUAUGCUAGUUUUGAUGAAAAUGGGAAUGCUUUUGGAGAUGCACGAGUGAAUAAAAAAUAUGAUCCAAUGGUAAUAAACUAGAGGAAACAGAGCAAAGCCUGUUCAGAUUCUUCUCUGUGAUGCUUUGUCUUCAGAGCUCCUUCAGGUUGGAAGGACUACCUUUACUUGGGGGCAUGUCAAUUCGUUUUUCUCACUUCAGAUUCAUCUUUAUGACUUCUUGAGGACAGAUCUAAUUCUAAAGUAACCAGAAGCCUGACCAUCUCAGAGCAGCAAAUCCCUCAACCUUGGAGCACAAAUGAUCGCUGAUACAGUCUGCAUAAAAUCAUCUUCCUCUAUCUGACAGCCAUGAGCAGAGCCUUGGGGGUAAAAAAAAAAAAAAAAAAGCCACAGCCUUAAAUCUCUUUACUCAGAAAUUACCAUGAAGAUAAAAUAAAUAAGUGGAAAGGACUAAACAAGAAGCCAACAAAACAUAAACACCAAACCAACUCAUCUUGUUUCACUAUGGAAAUAAACUGUUCCCAGAUGUGAGACCAACAAAAUUAAUAUUAAGCAAUUAAACCAGUAAAUUAUAAACUGAUUUAUCAUUUAGGAAGGUUAAAGUAUAGAGAGAUGAGGUACCUGUAGCCAGAAUUACACAUCAUUUCAAAAUAUGUAGACAAAAAGAAAACUGAAUGAACAGAGAAACACUGCAGCAAUGCACAGUCUUAGGACAAAUGUUGCUGUUUGCAGACAGAGAAUGUUUGCCAUCUUGUGUAUAGCCUCAAAGCCAUACUGAGAUAAUAGCAUUGUUGUCAGUUGCUUGAAAAAUUUUCACAUUCAAUCCUUCACCCUAUAUUGGUUGGAAGAGGAGGGAAGUCAGUUCUUACCGAUUACUUCUCAGUGAACUUCUAAUAUUUGCACUGUCACUUCCAUUCAGGGUAAUGAUGUGUGCUGUUAUUUGCACAAAUGGUCCCAUGAGUUUUGAGACCACAGCAA
Molecule: long non-coding RNA, 1132 nt
Filed under: Pongo abelii (Sumatran orangutan)
Lineage: Eukaryota; Metazoa; Chordata; Mammalia; Primates; Hominidae
Description: lincRNA
Source: RNAcentral